Molecule: long non-coding RNA, 1591 nt
Organism: Brassica napus (rape)
Lineage: Eukaryota; Viridiplantae; Streptophyta; Magnoliopsida; Brassicales; Brassicaceae
Exons: 2
Source: RefSeq, a predicted model, not a curated record
UUAUUUAUAACUAAGUGUGUACUUAAAGCAUUUAUUAGAAUUUUAAUAUUUAUUAUUAUAUAUAAUAUUACCACAAAUAUUGAAUUUAAUAAUUGGAAUACUUAUUUAUAUUUCAAAAUAUUUAUAUUGACUAUUAAUUUCGGAUUUUUCGGGUUACCCGUUCGGGUUCGGUUAAUAACACUUCGGGUGUGACCACUAUAAUAUUUCCAGAGAAACAACUUCAUAGAGGUGUGAACAGAAAUUAUAUUGAGCUUUAAGGAAUUAUAUUAUCUAAUCACUAGCAAAACUAUCUCUAAAGAGGGGAAAAGGGCCUUUUUAGAUCCCAACGAUAUGCGUCGUGCCUUUUUAGACCCAAACAAAACAUAAGUGCAAAACUAUUCCUGAACUGAGAUUUUUUAAAAAAUUUCGACCCAAACUUGACUCCGUUACAUGAAAUCCUACAUUGACUAACUUAUCGUUAGUCAACCGUUAAACCAUGCUUAGUUGGAUAAAGGAAAAAUGCCGAUUUCCACCCGUUCAAUUUCGGUCGUGCCUUUUUAGACCUGAAAAAUGAGUAAGUGCGAUUUCAUACCAAACUGAAUAAUAAUUUAAAUUUCAUACCCGAACCGAACGAUAGUCACUUUAAGAAAUCAAUCAUAUAGCUACCAAUUUUUUCGUAGCUAGAAAGAAAAAUCUGUAGCUACAAUGCAAAAGGCGACAGAUUGCUACGAAUUGGAACCGUGGCGUCAUCGUCGAUUCUAAACCCGAUCUGUCGCCAUUCUGUAGCUUGCUAGCGCCAAAUUUUGCGAGAAAACUAGUUGUAGCUAUUGGCGACUGCAUGGCUACAAAGUGUUUUGUUGCUUAAUAGCUACGGCAUAGCUGUAGAGUGCUCUAUUGCUAAAUAGCUGUAGAGUUUAGCUACUAUGUUUCUUUAGCUAAAUCGUAGCUAUAUAAAUAAAAAAAAACGAUGCUAGUCGUUGCUAAAUAGAACAAUUAUAGCAACCAUUUAUCUCUGGUCAAUGUGUAGCUAUUUAGCUAUAGACCACUAAUGGAAUCCGUCUAUAGGUAUAUAGCUAUGGAUUAGUACAGUUAGCCACAUAUUUAGCUACAAAGUUAAAAUUAUGUGUUUUGUCACUAUAUCUUUAGGUAAAAAAUUUGGCUACUAAAAUGCCUUUGCCAACCCUUAGCUAAUUUAAUGAAUUAUUGUAGUGAGUUUGAAUUUCAUAAAAAAACUACUCUUACUAAUGUUUGGUUAGUCAACCGUUAUUUUGAGCGCGUCAGUGUCUAGGCAGAGAUGACAUGUCGAGGGAGAGUUAAAACGACGUCGUUUCACUUGGAGGGCCGAACCCACGCCAGACACAGACAAGUGAAUUAAAUGAACACUUUACCAUCAGGUUUGCUCACAGAUUCGUCGCGGAUCGAUCCCUAAUCAAAUGGAUUCGAUUUAUUGGGCUUGAUAAUGCCUCUGUUCAUGCUAAUCCAUUUUAGACGAAGAAACUAAUCUCCGCUCUUGUCUACGUGUUAUAGCCUGAGCUAAUCUUUUUGGCUCCCAACGUUACAUUCUCAUGUGAUUUUAAAAUGUUCACUACUAUCAAAAAUAGAACUUCCUAAA